This 486-nucleotide ribosomal RNA is filed under the name uncultured bacterium. Its description in RNAcentral is "partial 16S ribosomal RNA". It matches the Rfam family "Bacterial small subunit ribosomal RNA", at positions 30 to 507 of the family's 1533-position model. The record is from RNAcentral.
AUUGAACGCUGGCGGCAUGCCUUACACAUGCCAGUCGAACGGCAGCACGGGUGCUUGCCCCUGGUGGCGAGUGGCGAACGGGUGAGUAAUACAUCGGAACAUGUCCUGUAGUGGGGGAUAGCCCGGCGAAAGCCGGAUUAAUACCGCAUACGAUCUACGGAUGAAAGCGGGGGACCUUCGGGCCUCGCGCUAUAGGGUUGGCCGAUGGCUGAUUAGCUAGUUGGUGGGGUAAAGGCCUACCAAGGCGACGAUCAGUAGCUGGUCUGAGAGGACGACCAGCCACACUGGGACUGAGACACGGCCCAGACUCCUACGGGAGGCAGCAGUGGGGAAUUUUGGACAAUGGGCGAAAGCCUGAUCCAGCAAUGCCGCGUGUGUGAAGAAGGCCUUCGGGUUGUAAAGCUCUUUUGUCCGGAAAGAAAUCCUUGGCCCUAAUACGGUCGGGGGAUGACGGUACCGGAAGAAUAAGCACCGGCUAACUACGUG